This is an RNA transcript of Anopheles merus, 3248 nucleotides long. It is a transcript of the gene named 5-hydroxytryptamine receptor 1A-alpha-like, with no coding region annotated. The transcript has 7 exons. Lineage: Eukaryota; Metazoa; Arthropoda; Insecta; Diptera; Culicidae. The record is from RefSeq and is a predicted model, not a curated record.
GGGCUUGAUAUCACGCUUUAGUAUCGCGCUUGACGUUUCGCGUUGUGUUUCGCGUUACACUUUGGCGCACGGUCACACACAGACACGCGCAAACUACUACCGACAAUGUAACGGACGGUGUCAAGUAUUCCGACGCGGCUGCAUCGUUAGCACGUGUGCAGCAGGUGACUACGCAUCGCAGCAAUCCUAAGCUUACAGCAUCAGCAACUCACUGUGCGCGUGUGUGUGUGAGUGUUGAGCCGCAGCGCGCCCAAAAGGCUUAGGCUGUCCGUCAGUUUGGCACCGUAAUCGCGGCGAGCCGGUCACGAACCGGCGGUGUUCGAUCGUGGCGAGCCAAAGCCGUGUGUGGCCGUGAUUUGUGUGCCGUGAUUUGUGUGCCGUGUUUGAUUAGGUGAACUCAUCAGUCGGAAGCAUAUCUUUGUGCGUAUAAUCGCAUCCAGGGAGGGUGUGUGCGUACGGUAGCCAUCCCCCGGACCGAGCUCGGUUUCCGGUGCCUCUCGAUUGACCAUCUGUGCAGCCUCUGUGUCCCUUGGUACUUUCAUAAGGGACAACCAAAAGACCUCAAGCGUGCCUGCGUGUGUGUAUGUGUGAAGUGUGUGAAGUGUGAAAAAGUGUCCCCAAAGAACGAGAAGCAACGAGAAGCAACGACGACGACGACGCUUCGUCCAAUUCUGCCAACCGAAACGGAAUGGGAAAGGUGCAAGCGCACGGCUACGAUGAUUACGACCGGAUACGAUACUUUUACUACAUCCGGCCGCCCCACACGCCGGUGCCGGCGGACUGGUGGGUCGAUCCGAUGGCCACCACCACCGAAUCCGUCACCACGCUCAGUGCCAGCGAGGAGACGACGCUGCUCCUGUACGACAUCUUCAUACCGCUGCUCGGCUCGCUCAUCAUCAUACUCAACCUGAUCGUGGUCGUGUCCGGUGUGCUGCUGCUGCGCAAAGGUCAGCAACCGUACACCACCUACAUGUUUCUGGGCAACGUGGCCGUGUCGGAUUUAUUGACGGGCUUUGCCGUCAUCUUCGGCCAGUAUGCGCCCCGCGAGCGACGGGCCGAGGAAAACUGCACGCUAAUGAUCGGGCUCAUAGUGUCCACCUCGCUGGUUUCGGUGUACAGCGUGGGGCUGAUAGCGAUCGAUCGAUACCUUUACAUCGUGUACGGGCUGCAGUACCAGCGCUACCUGACCCGCACCCGGGCGCGCAUUCUAAUUGCCGCCACCUGGAUCCUCGGCGCAACCAUCGGCUUUCUGCCCGCGCUCGGCUGGCGGGGCGACACGGACGGUGGCCGCACCUGCUGGUUCAUCCGGCUCGCGCCGCCGGGCCUGGUGAUCCUGACGGCCGUCGUCGGCAUUCUGCCCGUGCUGCUCGUCAUCAUCCUGUACGGCAUCAUCCUGCAGAAGGCGCUGCGCCGCGUCAACCAGCUGAAGAAGGCAUCGCGCGAGCUGCGCGGCGUACAGACGGGCAACCUCCGGUUAUUCCGCGGCGGCACGGGUGGCAGCGCGAACGGUGGUGCCGCUGCCACGAUUGCACCACCCGUGCCGAUCGCCGUCCCGCCAACCGAGCCGAAUCGAUCAGGCGCCAACCGCCAGUCCGACACGGAGCACGGUUUGAGCGAGGACGAGCUAGCGGGCGCUGCCACCGGCCGCUGUCUCUGCCUACGCUCACGCUGCUGCACUGCCGGCGGCGCCCGGGCCAAGCAGUCCCAGAAGGCACUGAACGGGCCCGGCACCGCUGCCACGGCUGGCACCGCGAUGACGACGACAGCCGCGGCGACGACCGGCCCAACCGCACCCAGCAAAAGCCCGACCAAGUGGAAGGCGAUAAAAGUCGUGAUGUUCACGACGGGCAGCUUCGUCGUGACGUGGGUGCCGUACUUCAUCGCGAGCCUGCUGUACGUCGGGUGCGACCCGGCCACGAACGAGGAGCUGUGCCGCAGCCUGCAGUUCGCCAUCGCCAGCCCGCUCGCCAUCCUCGGGUUCGCCAACAGUCUGCUCAAUCCGAUCAUUUACGCCUGGUGGCACAAUGGGUUCCGCGCCUCGAUGAAGCGGCUCGCCGGCAAGGUCAGCCAGCGGAUCUGCUGCUGCUGCUGCUGCUGCGGCGGCACCGGAGACGGUGGUGCGGGCCGGUGUACCGCGGUACGCUGCUGCCAUAAAUCAUCGCGCUCGGCGCCACCGUCGGCCUCGGUGGCGAAUCGGAUCAGUGCCAAUGGGGUUAGCAGCACGGGCAGCACCAGCGAUGGCAUCGGACCCGACCGCCUGUCAAACCGCACCGUCACAACGACGGUCGGCCAGCGGGCGCACCCGGUCCCGUACCCCCACAGCGACCAGGAAUUUUCCGUCACCGAUGACACCGAUGUCGAGCAGCCGAGUAUGGUAAUCGGAACGCGGCUCUAGAGGGGGAGACGCGGGGCCUAUUUCCACCACCCAAAUUUGCUACCCAGCUCAGGGAAAAUUGUCCGCAGCUUCAAAGAACAGCGCAAAAAUGUAGCUUCAAAAGUUUCAAAAGCGCCCCUGCUGCCCCUCCUUCCUUCUUGGAAGUGGCUGACACCGUAUGACUCCGAAGGCGUACCGGGAACUGUCACAAGGGGACCACGUGCCCAGGGCAAAGAAAAACGAGGACCUUAUGUCGACGGUUAGGAAGUUGGCAGCAAAGGGGCGAAAAGCGAAAUGGAGAAUUAGAUUUCAGCUCGUCAGACGCGUGUGCAUGCGGUUAAUGCCCCGUGGUGAGAGACGUCUUCGACCGGAGCAGAACCGUUCAUCGUGUGGCGUUUUUAUGCAGUUGCUCGCAUGGCAAGCGUCACACACUAGGCAAGGACACACUUCAUGACACUUUAAUCGAAAGAAAUUGCAGCAGUUUCAGUACCACAGGACCCAGCAUUCUUUAUUACGCAACAAUAAAGCUCUAUUAGAGCUCGGAGACGUUAACAAUAACGACGCUUGUUUGCUGCAGGACCGAACAGCUUCCGAACCUUUGAAAGGCUAUUAAUUAUCGGACGUUGUAUAAAGCCCGGUCGGGGCAACCCCUUUUGCUCCGACGUCAGAAGACCCCCCUUCUUCAUCUUCUUUUCCCGGGGAAUUCCUUUCCCUUCCUGUGCUGCUCAAUAAUAGCGGGUUAUUUGCAUAAGCAAAUUACGUCAGCCGCUCGUGGCUGGUGGAAAACAAGGGAAGCAAUUAUGAUACAAUAAAUGGAGAUGGGCUGUGGGGCCCAUGUAAUGAUGCUGCGCCGUACCAGCGCAGUCCACCGUUA